This 487-nucleotide ribosomal RNA is filed under the name uncultured bacterium. RNAcentral's name for it is "bacterial SSU rRNA". It matches the Rfam family "Bacterial small subunit ribosomal RNA", at positions 28 to 507 of the family's 1533-position model. The record is from RNAcentral.
GAUGAACGCUAGCUACAGGCUUAACACAUGCAAGUCGAGGGGCAUCAGGAAGAAAGCUUGCUUUCUUUGCUGGCGACCGGCGCACGGGUGAGUAACACGUAUCCAACCUGCCCUUUACUCGGGGAUAGCCUUUCGAAAGAAAGAUUAAUACCCGAUAGUAUAAUGAUUCCGCAUGGUUUCAUUAUUAAAGGAUUCCGGUAAAGGAUGGGGAUGCGUUCCAUUAGGUUGUUGGUGAGGUAACGGCUCACCAAGCCUUCGAUGGAUAGGGGUUCUGAGAGGAAGGUCCCCCACAUUGGAACUGAGACACGGUCCAAACUCCUACGGGAGGCAGCAGUGAGGAAUAUUGGUCAAUGGACGAGAGUCUGAACCAGCCAAGUAGCGUGAAGGAUGAAGGUCCUACGGAUUGUAAACUUCUUUAUAAGGGAAUAAACCCUCCACGUGUGGGAGCUUGUAUGUACCUUAUGAAUAAGCAUCGGCUAACUCCGUG